Molecule: ribosomal RNA, 990 nt
Filed under: Citrobacter koseri
Lineage: Bacteria; Pseudomonadati; Pseudomonadota; Gammaproteobacteria; Enterobacterales; Enterobacteriaceae
Description: partial 23S ribosomal RNA
Rfam family: Bacterial large subunit ribosomal RNA
Source: RNAcentral
AAUACAUAGGCUAACGAGGCGAACCGGGGGAACUGAAACAUCUAAGUACCCCGAGGAAAAGAAAUCAACCGAGAUUCCCCCAGUAGCGGCGAGCGAACGGGGAGGAGCCCAGAGCCUGAAUCAGCUUGUGUGUUAGUGGAAGCGUCUGGAAAGUCGCACGGUACAGGGUGAAAGUCCCGUACACGAAAAUGCACAGGCUGUGAGCUCGAUGAGUAGGGCGGGACACGUGGUAUCCUGUCUGAAUAUGGGGGGACCAUCCUCCAAGGCUAAAUACUCCUGACUGACCGAUAGUGAACCAGUACCGUGAGGGAAAGGCGAAAAGAACCCCGGCGAGGGGAGUGAAAAAGAACCUGAAACCGUGUACGUACAAGCAGUGGGAGCCUCUUUUAUGGGGUGACUGCGUACCUUUUGUAUAAUGGGUCAGCGACUUAUAUUCUGUAGCAAGGUUAACCGUAUAGGGGAGCCGAAGGGAAACCGAGUCUUAACUGGGCGUUAAGUUGCAGGGUAUAGACCCGAAACCCGGUGAUCUAGCCAUGGGCAGGUUGAAGGUUGGGUAACACUAACUGGAGGACCGAACCGACUAAUGUUGAAAAAUUAGCGGAUGACCUGUGGCUGGGGGUGAAAGGCCAAUCAAACCGGGAGAUAGCUGGUUCUCCCCGAAAGCUAUUUAGGUAGCGCCUCGUGAAUUCAUCUCCGGGGGUAGAGCACUGUUUCGGCUAGGGGGCCAUCCCGGCUUACCAACCCGAUGCAAACUGCGAAUACCGGAGAAUGUUAUCACGGGAGACACACGGCGGGUGCUAACGUCCGUCGUGAAGAGGGAAACAACCCAGACCGCCAGCUAAGGUCCCAAAGUCAUGGUUAAGUGGGAAACGAUGUGGGAAGGCCCAGACAGCCAGGAUGUUGGCUUAGAAGCAGCCAUCAUUUAAAGAAAGCGUAAUAGCUCACUGGUCGAGUCGGCCUGCGCGGAAGAUGUAACGGGGCUAAACCAUG